Molecule: ribosomal RNA, 641 nt
Filed under: Lycodon davisonii
Lineage: Eukaryota; Metazoa; Chordata; Lepidosauria; Squamata; Colubridae
Description: partial 16S ribosomal RNA
Rfam family: Bacterial large subunit ribosomal RNA
Source: RNAcentral
GCAACGCCUGCCCAGUGAAUAAUUAAACGGCCGCGGUAUCCUAACCGUGCAAAGGUAGCAUAAUCACUUGUCUACUAAUUAUAGACCAGCAUGAAUGGCAAAAUGAGGGCCUAACUGUCUCUUAUAAUCAAUCAAUUAAACUGAUCUACUAGUAAAAAAGCUAGAAUACCAACAUAAGACCAGAAGACCCUGUGAAGCUUAAACUAAACUAUUAAACCACAUAAUAACUAAUUUCGGUUGGGGCGACCUUGGAAAUAAGAAAAACUUCCAAACACCAUGACAUACAUCAUAAGCCCAGGCCCACAAGCCAACACAAGACCCAGUUAAAACUGACAAAUGAACCAAGUUACUCCAGGGAUAACAGCGCAAUCUUCUUCAAGAGCCCAUAUCAAAAAGAAGGUUUACGACCUCGAUGUUGGAUCAGGACAUCCUAUUGGUGCAGCCGCUAUUAAGGGUUCGUUUGUUCAACGAUUAACAGUCCUACGUGAUCUGAGUUCGGCCCGGAUUAAUCGUUGAACAAACGAACCUUAAUACGGYUGCACAAUAGGAUGUCUGAUCCAACAUCGAGGUGUAAACCUUCUUUUGAUAUGGGCUCUUGAAGAAAAUGCCUGUUAUCCUGGARUAACUUGGGUUAUUUGUCA